CAGCCUCUGGGAGCUCGCAGUGGUAAUACAUCAUCUAUAUUUUAAAGCUUUUGGUGGAGAGAAGGCGGGGGAACCUCCAUCUUAAGGUUUUAGCCCCAUCCGUCUCUACAGAGAGAUCAGGCGUUAUCCUGGAUAUAAAUCAGGGGAGCUGCUAUGGGAAGCGUGCGCGAGAGAAAGCCCUUUCACCUACAUUCAGCUCAGCUUGCUUAAUGUGGCUGUGCAGCAUGGGGCGGUGCAGGGCCGUGAUCGCUGUGAUGUUUGAGUGCUUCCUAAAACGCUUACCACUAGUCCAUCUGUGCGGGCUGCUUAUUCAACACUACACAUGCAUUCCUGUUUAGUUGAGCCCUGCCUCAAAAUAACCAAAAUGGUUUGAAACAUAGUUGCCAUUGCUCUGCUUACGACAGUCUGAUUAUUGUCUAAUAAUGUGUUUAAUGAGUCAACCUAUUUAUACUUUAAUGUUUGAGUCAUAACAUUAUCAUAUGCUUUAACAGUGUAGUUGCAGCUCUCCCGAAUGUUAUGCAUUGGCUAGUCUCCUAAAUUAUGUACCAAAAUAAACCGUUGC
Carassius auratus (goldfish) is the source of this 562-nucleotide long non-coding RNA. RefSeq lists it as uncharacterized. NCBI's taxonomy places the organism in Eukaryota, Metazoa, Chordata, Actinopteri, Cypriniformes, Cyprinidae. The transcript is spliced from 3 exons. The record is from RefSeq and is a predicted model, not a curated record.